UGAACGCUGGCGGCGUGCCUAACACAUGCAAGUCGUACGAGAAAUCCCGAGCUUGCUCGGGAGAGUAAAGUGGCGCACGGGUGAGUAACGCGUGGGUAACCCACCUUCGAAUCUGGGAUAACUCCGCGAAAGCGGUGCUAAUACCGGAUAAGACCACAGCCGUUUCGGCGGCAGAGGUAAAAGCUGACCUCUCCAUGGAAGUUAGCGUUCGAGGACGGGCCCGCGUCCUAUCAGCUUGUUGGUGGGGUAAUGGCCUACCAAGGCAGCGACGGGUAGCUGGUCUGAGAGGAUGAUCAGCCACACUGGAACUGGAACACGGUCCAGACUCCUACGGGAGGCAGCAGUGAGGAAUUUUGCGCAAUGGGGGAAACCCUGACGCAGCAACGCCGCGUGGGUGAAGAAGGCUUUCGGGUCGUAAAGCCCUGUCAGGUGGGAAGAACCGUUUCGAUACUAAUAAUGUCGAAGCCUGACGGUACCGCCAGAGGAAGCACCGGCCAACUCCGUG
This 505-nucleotide ribosomal RNA is filed under the name uncultured bacterium. Its description in RNAcentral is "bacterial SSU rRNA". It matches the Rfam family "Bacterial small subunit ribosomal RNA", at positions 30 to 507 of the family's 1533-position model. The record is from RNAcentral.